AGUAUCGAAGUAAUCUUUUUGCACGCAAAAAAGGUUUUAACUUGCACGAGCUUCGUUGCAAUUCUAUCAGCAAUGUGUUUCAGGAAUAAAAAUAAUGAUAUCUCAAAUGGCUUUUUAAUUUGAUCUGCAAAGGUAAUAUUUCACCGGGUAGGAAUAUCAUAAACAGAUCGAAGAUGAUACAAAGGUGUCUUUACAAUGGCGUCUUUGCAAAUGAGGCCGGUUGUCGGGACGAGAAUUACCCUAAACUCCACACAAAAAAAUUGAUGUAAGUAUAGAAGGCAUACUAAAGAUUGCAUCAAAAAAGUCAUUGGUACUUUUUGUACUGCUAAACAACACACUCGUCUGGAACGAAUGCUUUUUCAUAUGAUUGACUAGUCAAAUGCUGUUCUAGAUAGCUAUAAGGAAGGAAUUUCGAUGCUAUACAUAAGAAUUAAAUUCACAUUUUGUCCUGAGAAACACUGUAAAGCGCUUAAACCACGAUACGUCAUCAAAUAUGGCAUCGAAGAAGUGAUUUUUCUAGACCAUUGAUACAAAUGAGUGAAAGAAGCACAGCUUGAAAACACAAACCAAAGCAACAAAUUAUCGAGCACUACAUAACCAAUAGAACUAUCUGAUUAUCUCAUAAUAAGGAAAAUAUAGUGCUGGAUCAUAAACAUUUCAAGAAGGUGAGCCUCGUUUUGAGGCUUUAUAUCCAGACUACCAUCUUGUUGUUUAUGACGUCAAUUGAUUGUUAUGAAGAGCCUCAGUUUCAUCUCGCCGUAGAGUAUCAAGUUGAUUGUGACGUCACAUUGAUUAACGCCAAUAAAAGGAGCAACAAUCAACUGAGCAUUCGUCAGUUCAGUGGCUACGGUAACUGCAUUGACUCUUUUUAAAGUUGAGUUGAAAAUCUCAAACUUUUAGUCGUCGUUCAGAGUGAGAUAUAUUUUUCGAGAGAAGAAACAAACACAGCAUGGGUUGCUGUCUUUCAAAGUUCCAGAGGCCUAAUGAAGCCUCACCAACCAAACGAAUGUCAUCGACGCUUAACAGAAUAUCCAAAAUAUUUCGAAGAAGCAAAGGCAUUCAAAAAGGUGAGAUGGAUGAGUAUAUCAUUUGUCACUUAUUUUGUUUUUUUCUCGGCUAAAGCGGGUGAUUUUAUCAAAGUUCCAUUCUUAUUGUACGAAUAUGACUAGAAUGGAAUUAUCUUUUUUUAAUGUACAUCUUUGAUACAUAGUAAGUUCUUCGAUAGACCAAUUGAACACUGCUAAAUUUACCCUUUUCAUUUUAGAACGGUCUUUAUCAGUCGACGAGCAGAGAACUCUUGCAAAAGAAAACACAUCUCGGGUCAUUUUCAGAGCUAGAGACAACAAUAAAGGAGAAAAAUUGCCACAAUCCACAAACUCAAGUGGAAAUUUCCAUUUCAAAGCCAAUCAGCAAAUGCAUCAUGCACAUAGCCGGAUCAAUUCAUUGGCAGCAAAAGAUCAAACCAGUCACGCAUAUGGUGCAAAGAGGCACCCUUUACCCUAUCUUGUCCCUUGCAGUGGCAACGUCGUAGAUCCACAGUCGUAUCCAAAGAGCACACCUGACAGCGUGCUCAAUGUCAUCGAACAUUUUCGCCAGAAGAUUGAAAAAUUUGCAGCCAUGGAUGACGAUCCGCUCGACUCCAACUACCAACAAGAUUCAGGAUAUGAAGAUUCAGUGUAUAGCGCAGAGUCGUCAUGUUUAGCUCAAGACGAUACGUGUCACGGAGAGGUGUCCAUGUGUUCCGAAGAAGAUGAAAGCACAAGCAUGUACGAAGACGAAGAAGAUCAACAAGAACUGCCAAGCAAGGACAGUUAUGCUAAGAACGCAACAUUAAAUGAUCUUCCAUUACAUCUCAAAGUGUCAAUGGAAUUUCCUAGAUUUCCACAAAACAACGGCCCAGA
Molecule: non-coding RNA, 1901 nt
Organism: Rhopilema esculentum
Lineage: Eukaryota; Metazoa; Cnidaria; Scyphozoa; Rhizostomeae; Rhizostomatidae
Source: RefSeq, a predicted model, not a curated record